AGCAGCAUGGCGCAGAUGGAAGCGCGCGGGGCCCAUAUUAUUACGUAAUAGCUGCGUAAUCAUGAUACCCCGAGGUCACUCGAUCGAAACGAGUUGCUGCUA
Non-coding RNA from Mycena leptocephala, 102 nucleotides. Lineage: Eukaryota; Fungi; Basidiomycota; Agaricomycetes; Agaricales; Mycenaceae. The record is from the annotation of a GenBank genome assembly.